Molecule: ribosomal RNA, 775 nt
Filed under: uncultured Neocallimastigales
Lineage: Eukaryota; Fungi; Neocallimastigomycota; Neocallimastigomycetes; Neocallimastigales
Description: partial large subunit ribosomal RNA
Rfam family: Eukaryotic large subunit ribosomal RNA
Source: RNAcentral
UAGUCUCGCACAGAUGCAUAUCAAUAAGCGGAGGAAAAGAAACUAACAAGGAUUCCCCUAGUAACGGCGAGUGAAGCGGGAAGAGCUCAAAUUUGAAAUCUUAAAGGGUUUCCCUUUACGAAUUGUAGUUUAAAGAAGUGUUUUCUGUUGAGGUUUUGGUAAAAGUUCUUUGGAAUAGGACAUCAUAGAGGGUGAGAAUCCCGUAUUUGACCUUUACUUUCAACUUUGUGAUACACUUUCAAAGAGUCGGAUUGUUUGGGAAUGCAGUCCAAAAUGGGUGGUAAAUUUCAUCUAAAGCUAAAUAUUGGCGAGAGACCGAUAGCGAACAAGUACCGUGAGGGAAAGAUGAAGAGAACUUUGAAAAGAGAGUUAAACAGUACGUGAAAUUGUCAAAAGGGAAGCGUUUGACACCAGUGUUGUUUUUCUGAAAAUCAAUUAAAGAACUGUUUAUGCUAAGUUGUUUAGACUUUAUCAGCUAUCUGUUUAGUUUUGAGCUUUUCUUUAAUGCACUUUUCAGUUAAACGAGUCAACAUCAAUUUCUUUUGCUGUAAAAAAGCUUGAGGAAGGUGGCUUGAGAUUCGUCUUAAGUGUUUAUAGCCUCUUGCCUAUGCAGUCGGAGAGAUUGAGGUCUGCAGCGUAGAUCCUUCGGGGCUAUAAUGCAUUUGUGCUAAGUUAUAGCAUUUUAUAGACAACUUGUCGACUAUGAUUUGUCUUGUAGCUUACUCGCUUAUGUUAUUUUACCUACGCUUAGGAUGUUGACGCAUGAGAUAUACGC